Pelodiscus sinensis (Chinese soft-shelled turtle) is the source of this 2793-nucleotide non-coding RNA. NCBI's taxonomy places the organism in Eukaryota, Metazoa, Chordata, Testudines, Trionychidae. The record is from RefSeq and is a predicted model, not a curated record.
CCUCACAGUCUCUUUCCUAGCCACCUUCCCCUAAUAGCAUUUUUUUAACAAUGAAGGUUGUGGUUACUUAUACAACUUUCACUACAUAUCAAGCUGUGAUGGGGUGACUACCCCACACUCACCAUGCAGGGUUAAAUACAAGCUAGAUGGGCCAAUUAACCCACUCAGCAGCUGACUGAGGAGACUCAACUGAGGGGUGUAUCCUUUAAAGCCCAGGAAUUGAAUGGAGAAGAGAUUGCUGGAGAAAGGAAAGACAUACCCAGGAGAAAGGGAGGACUGCAGUCGCUCCCUAGAAAAAGGGAAGAGGCAUUUCGGAACUGGUAACCCCAAAAAGAAAAGGCAACCAGAAAUGAGGAAUGUACAGUUUGUGACCACCUGUGACAGCUCCUGUCUUCAUCCACAACACACCUUCCAACUUCUGCAACAAAUGAAGCAGUGGUCCUAGAGACAACAGCCUCUUAAUUUACAUAGCCCUGGUUCAUCCCUAGAGCAAGUCCAUCCUGUGCACUGAAAGAAGCAGGAGUCCUUGUGGAAAAAAAAUGGAGAACUGAGGCAUUGAGACACUUUCCAAAGGUCAGAGCAAGGAAUUACAUGAAGAUAGCCAAAAUUCCAGGCUAACAUCCUAACCACUGGGCUAUCCUUUCUCAUUUGGAUAGCCUACUUUGUACUACAUUACUUUCCCACAGAAGAUUGCAGAGACUAGAAUGUGUAACUUUUACUCAUGGGGAGGGUCACUUACAGGAGACUGCACCUAGAUAGCACCACAAAAGGAGCAAGGAGAGAUACAGAGCGCGCACACACACACACACACACACACACAGCCAGAGAGAAAAGUAGAAGGAGAUGGGGGUUGUACUAGGGAAAUCUUUGAAGCUUCACCUCGCGUAUUUCCACACAAGCUCAGACAGAGGCUGAUAUCUUACAUGUAGACUAUGGCUGUAGUAUUGGGAUUUUCAAAGAUGCCUGUCUGGGGUCUACUAUUCACAGUUUGGCAGCACCUCCUGUUGGCUCAUCUGGGAGAUUAGUUCACAACUCUCCACAUCCCCUCCAGCAUUUGCCCGUUACUCCAGUCACUCAACCUGCAGUCCCAAAAUCUCAGCAGUCUCCCUAUCACUGCACUCACUGUGCCACUACCUUACAGCUAAUAGAAGAGCCCACACUCCACUCCAAGUUCCAGUCCGGGACCCUCAAAUCAGGUCCACGUGGUCUCAACUUUACUGCUCCAUCCUUGGACUACUUCCUACAUUCCUGUUACAGGCUCCCCCUUGUAUCAGGAAGUGUGACUGCAGGCUUCCUCACUACCGCCCACUUCUCUGUGCUGUCAGCUCCCCGGUGCUCUAGAAUCCUUUCCUGUUUCUGCCCAUGUGAAAUUCAUCCCCAAUUAAGUCUCAUUGCGUCCUAGCUCCCUCCAGCAUGCAGCAUAUGACUAAUUGGCUUCUCUUGCCUAUAUUUAGCCUCUCCUGUCCUGAAUUAGUGUGGUUAAUAUGUGGGUUAGUGUGUGGUGAACACUGCAUUAGAGGGCCUCAGAGAUUAAUAUGUCUAGUGGAAAUCCAAAGCCCUUAGUUGUCUUUGAAAAUCAUGUUACACCAUGUAAGUUUUGGUGUUACCUGUACAAAUCUGCAGUGUGAAUUCAUUUACAGUGAGUAGGAAGGGCUUAAUUUUAUGUUCACCUUCAAACAUUGGGCUGAAUCUUUGCAAUUGGUUUUGUCAACAAUAUGGGUAUGUUGUUGUUACCCUGAAAUUGUGACUGCACCUGUGUCUCCCUCUCCAUGGUCCAUUCCAGGAGUGUCUAAUCAAGUUUCAGGUCUCUAGCUAUCACAUGUCUACAUAGGGUCACAUUUCACACUCCCUUCUGACCACAGAAUUUAAGGUUGGCCAGUUCCCUACUUUACACUAUGACAUCCCCAACAAGCCAGUCUGCUUAAAGGUGAGCACCUGUAUGUUGAUUUGUCACUGAGGGCUAAGAACUGUGUAUUGCCAAAAGUUACCACACAGCUUUUUCUGAGCAAGCACAGUUAUUCUUAAGGUAUAAGCAUUACAAUGAAAAUCUCCAGAAAUUCCUGUAAACAUACUAAAAGCUCACCAUAUGUCACCUAUCUGUCUUAUAUGAACCUAGUAAGCCUAAGUCAUUCUAACCCUUCUCCAAGGACAGAAGAUCACAUCCAUUUGCUAUACCAGAAAGAAGGCCCUGAGGCAAUUUAAAUACAUUUUUUUAAUGCCAAAAGACCUUUCUUUGUCUGUUGGUGUCCAAAAAUCCCAAUAUGAACCAGUAUAUGCAGGCCCUCUCGGGGAAUGCUACCUUUCUGAAUGAACUCCUACAUUAAAAUGAUAAAAGACAAAAACACCAUAUCACCCAUUUUAACAAAAUGAUCACCUCCAAAUGUAACCUUUCAGUCCUCAUCCUCAAAGAAAACCUGCAGAACAUCCUCAAAAGAUGAAUCUAGGAGCUUAAAUUCAUAACUUUGCCAGGCAUUAAAAAUCAUGAUCCUAAUAAAGAGACUGGAUUUACAGCUUAUCACAACAAUCUGUAACUUCUAGCCCUGGUUUUUUGUUUUUUGUUUUUUUGGUCCUAUGACUGUCAAUAGGCCACUUCACUUGGAAUGGUCUCUUACAAUAUGUAUUAACUGUUUAUGCUAAACAACUGGUUCCACUUAUAUCUAGCUGACACUCAGAGUACCCUUCCCAGAGCUGAAAAAGGGCUCCGUGUAGCUCAAAAUUGAAUCUCUUUCACCAAUAGAAGUUGGUCCAAUAAAAGUUAUUACCUCACUCACUUUGUCUCUUUACAAUCUAAAU